AACUGCAGCAGUGAGUGGAUUUAUCGUCCUCCUCCUCUCUGUGUCAGUGGUUCAGGGUCAGGACAGCUGGAGAGUGACUUACUCUUCUCUUCAGAUCUGUGCUUAUAAAGGAUCAACUGUGGAGAUGAACUGCACCUUCACAUACCCAGAGAGGAUAAAAGGAGAAGUUAACUCACUUCAGAAAACAUUCUGGUUUAGAGGAGGUGGUGGUACUUACAAAGAUGUAGAAACAGACUCAGAGUAUUCAGGUCGUGUGAAGAAUAUCUGUGAUGAGAACAAAUGCACUCUGAGAAUCACAAACCUGAGAGAGACAGACUCGACUGUGUACUGGUUUAGAUUCAUAAUAAACAAAGACAGUUAUCAUGGUCACCCUGGGGUCACUCUGUCAGUCACAGAUCUCCAGGUGAAGGUGAGCAGACCACAUAAGGCUCUGCUCUUUCAGUGUCUCAGUGGACUUUCCAGUCAAACCUCCUACAUCUGGUUCAGGAACGGAC
This is a non-coding RNA of Labrus bergylta (ballan wrasse), 494 nucleotides long. NCBI's taxonomy places the organism in Eukaryota, Metazoa, Chordata, Actinopteri, Labriformes, Labridae. The record is from RefSeq and is a predicted model, not a curated record.